Long non-coding RNA from Rhagoletis zephyria (snowberry fruit fly), 752 nucleotides. RefSeq lists it as uncharacterized. Lineage: Eukaryota; Metazoa; Arthropoda; Insecta; Diptera; Tephritidae. The record is from RefSeq and is a predicted model, not a curated record.
AUAAAAAUGGAAAAUAACAAUGAAUUAACAAUUAAUUGUUCCCCAGGAACUUUCAAAAAGAUUCAAGCAGGUAAGAAACAGAAAUUAAGAUUAUUAGACUAUAAGCAAUGUGAACAAACACUUUUUAUUUACGUAUUUAAACCUGCAGAUGCAGAUUAUCGGCAGUGUGUAAUACAGCAAGUGGCCGGGGAAGAUACGUUUGGACAAAUAAUGUUUUCCCAAAAAGAACCAGACAUGUCUCUAUCUGAGCAGCCUGAUUGUGCAUAUCAGCAAAAUGUGGAUAACAGCCUCUAGAGAAUCACCAGAUUUAGCAAAGCCAUUGUGGUUGGAUGCGCCAACGAGAUUUUUAAUCCAGAAGGUUAGGGAUUUACGUCCAAGGGUUGGAAAAAGUGCUUCUCUAAAAAACAAGAAGCAAAUGUGGAGUACAAUUAGCAAAGAACUUUGCGAAAUGGGCUACAUGUUUAAGGCGGUGCAAGUUGAGACUAUACCCUAGAACGGAACUACAAGCAAGCGGCUUCGAAUAACUCCAAGACGGGAAGGGCUAGACAGUUCUGCGCAUAUCAAAAUGAACCCCACGAAAUAUUUAAAGAAAAGAAGUCGAUAUACCCUACAUGUGUCUUGGACAGCGAGAUGCCGAGUCUUGACGUCAGCACUGAUGCAGAAGAAAUCUUAGAUGCGGCGCCAGCUACACCAGUAGACGAGCCCGAUUUCACGCCGUCCACUUCAAACAAAAGGAAAACUUCGCCAGCUAC